Molecule: ribosomal RNA, 700 nt
Filed under: uncultured bacterium
Lineage: Bacteria
Description: bacterial SSU rRNA
Rfam family: Bacterial small subunit ribosomal RNA
Source: RNAcentral
UAGAGUUUGAUCAUGGCUCAGGAUGAACGCUAGCGGCAGGCCUAACACAUGCAAGUCGAGGGGUAACGUGAGUGCUUGCACUUGACGACGACCGGCGCACGGGUGCGGAACGCGUAUGGAACCUACCUUUAUCAGGGGGAUAGCCCAUGGAAACGUGGAUUAAUACCCCAUAGUAUUAUUUCAUUGCAUGAUGAGAUAAUUAAAGAAUUUCGGAUAGAGAUGGCCAUGCGUAUCAUUAGCUAGUAGGCGAGGUAACGGCUCACCUAGGCGACGAUGAUUAGGGGUCCUGAGAGGGAGAUCCCCCACACUGGUACUGAGACACGGACCAGACUCCUACGGGAGGCAGCAGUGAGGAAUAUUGGGCAAUGGAGGCAACUCUGACCCAGCCAUGCCGCGUGCAGGAAGACGGCCCUAUGGGUUGUAAACUGCUUUUAUACAGGAAGAACACCACCCACGUGUGGGUGACUGACGGUACUGUAAGAAUAAGGACCGGCUAACUCCGUGCCAGCAGCCGCGGUAAUACGGAGGGUCCAAGCGUUAUCCGGAAUCAUUGGGUUUAAAGGGUCCGUAGGCGGGCUAAUAAGUCAGAGGUGAAAGUUUGCAGCUCAACUGUAAAAUUGCCUUUGGUACUGUUAGUCUUGAGUUAUAGUGAAGUGGUUAGAAUAAGUGGUGUAGCGGUGAAAUGCAUAGAUAUCACUUA